GGGUCUAUGAUGACAAACCUAUGACAUGAACAGAGAUAGUGACAUAAAACUCAUGCUCAAUAGAAUGCUUUGAGGCCC
Onychomys torridus (southern grasshopper mouse) is the source of this 78-nucleotide small nucleolar RNA. RefSeq annotates it as small nucleolar RNA SNORD115. NCBI's taxonomy places the organism in Eukaryota, Metazoa, Chordata, Mammalia, Rodentia, Cricetidae. The transcript has a single exon. The record is from RefSeq and is a predicted model, not a curated record.